Long non-coding RNA from Bufo bufo (common toad), 690 nucleotides. RefSeq lists it as uncharacterized. The record is from RefSeq and is a predicted model, not a curated record. The transcript has 2 exons. Lineage: Eukaryota; Metazoa; Chordata; Amphibia; Anura; Bufonidae.
ACACACACUGGAAUAAUGAGGUACUACAAGUCCCAGCUUCAUCAAGAAAUAGAUAAUUACACAGUGGAGCAGAACAGCAAGGCUCAACCAUCCUGAGGAGCGGUCUGAGGGACAGGCUGGACAGAUGGUCAGCGUCAGAUUGCCAACCAGAAUGUUUCUUUUUUCAGGACAACUUAUCCCAAAAUCACAGACAGCCUACACAAAUUGGAAAACAAUGAAUGGAGAAGAUUAUAAGAAAUACAUUUCUAUAGCUCAAUAUACCAAUCUGAACUCUUUACCACCAUUUACUGCGAGCUGUAGGAUCACAAUAGUCACCACCAAAAUAAUCUAGGCAAGUACCACCACCCUUUAAAAAAAAUUACGGACACAUCAAUCUUUUUUUCACAGACACAAGAAAAAAAAAUCACCAAUUUUUGCGGACUGUCCAGAAAUUUCUGGACGGUUGGCAACCCUGGCCAGCGUCUAGCCUGGCAUCCGGUGGGAUGGGCUCUGCUUAUGCAUGACCGAUGCCUCCUGUGUGAGGGAAGGAGACAAGACCGGCCUUACGGGACAUCGAAGUAAUUAUUAAUGGCCAUUAGUAGAGCUGGUGUAAAAUUAUUACCAGCCCUAACGACGUGCUUUUCACCACUCCAGCAGACGCCUGGCACUGUGCGCUCAGAGCUUAGGCUGAUAUGCAGCUGCUCCGUCACC